GUUAGCUUUUCUGCUGUCUAUAGGACUGAAGGGCAAUGACACUUCAAGAGUUAGGAAGAGAGAGGGGAGUGAGCAGCAAGUCAUUUCAUAGGCAACAAUCAGCUGCAGAGCAAUACUGGCUUUACUGGAAAUCCAAAGCUGACUUGAUUAUUUCUUUAAUAUACAACACAAAUCCACAGCCAUUAAGGGAACUUAUGAAAAACUAGCCACACUAAGUAUGAUAGAAGUCACAAUACUACUUUGAAAACAUGUUUUAAAUCUGUGAAAUAGAAACCAAGAGUUGACAUAGAGUCUCUUAUUUUCUAGUAGGUGUUAGGUUCCCACAGUUCUUGGAAGAUAAAAGAGACCCAAACACUGGGCAUAAAGAUAGGCCUAGAAAGCAACAAAGCAUUUUCCACGGAAAUGCUCAUUCAGAAUCUUGUAUUUCUUUAUCCAAAUGUAUUGAGAUUUAAAUCAACUGAGUCUCUUCUCAUUUUUAAUUUUAUUUUAUAUAAAAGACAGAUUUAGGAUAUUGUAAGAAAUCACUAAGUUACAUUUUUCAAAAAAUCUGUCAAGUGCUACAGUAAUGAAAUAAAUAAAUAAGAUUUUUCAAAGUUCAAUGUUUAUAGACAUAUUUAUAAAAAAAAUGACUGAAUUAGAAGACAUUAAAUAAUGCUGAUACACACCAGGAAGGGACUUAGGCAAGGAAAGGCACAUCAUUUCACCACAAGAAAUAAAGACCAUGUUUGGAAGUUAACGACCAGGUGGUUGUGGUAGUUUUUCUAACUCCAGAGGGUCUUUAUGGUGGAACGUUCUUUAUGGUACUUAGUUGAAAUAAAGAGAUAGGAGUUGAAGAAUUUUACUCUGUGAACCCAACGUAGUAUUAAAAAGAAAGCAUUCUUGUAUUAAGGGAGAAGAAGCAAAAAUCCAAAUGUUUUGGUGGUACCGAAAAUCCUAUGACACACUACGGAGAUUUUUU
This is a long non-coding RNA of Pipistrellus kuhlii (Kuhl's pipistrelle), 958 nucleotides long. RefSeq lists it as uncharacterized. The record is from RefSeq and is a predicted model, not a curated record. NCBI's taxonomy places the organism in Eukaryota, Metazoa, Chordata, Mammalia, Chiroptera, Vespertilionidae. The transcript is spliced from 2 exons.